CUCCGCUGCGCCACGCUCUGGACCGCCAGCGCCUGCGGCUUCAUGGGGUACGCCCACUACAAGGACCUUGUCCAACGUGGUCUCUUCCCUCUCAAAGGUAUAUACGGGCAUAUGGCAGAAAAAAAUGAGUAAACAAAGAAAUUACCCACUUGAGAUCGAUGAUGAAAGUUCCGUUUUGGGUGCAGACGAGGCGCAGUUGAGCAAUGGGUACCUGGACACGACAGUGGACUGGAUACCGGGGUUGCCGAAGGACCUGCGGCUGCGGGACUUGCCAAGCUUCGUG
This 283-nucleotide long non-coding RNA is filed under the name Brachypodium distachyon (stiff brome). RNAcentral's name for it is "long non-coding RNA (BDIS_LNC005801)". Lineage: Eukaryota; Viridiplantae; Streptophyta; Magnoliopsida; Poales; Poaceae. The record is from RNAcentral.